This is a long non-coding RNA of Mauremys mutica (yellowpond turtle), 935 nucleotides long. RefSeq lists it as uncharacterized. The record is from RefSeq and is a predicted model, not a curated record. Lineage: Eukaryota; Metazoa; Chordata; Testudines; Geoemydidae. The transcript has 4 exons.
GAGGAUGCCACUGUCCUGGGAGUGACAUGGGUCCAGGAGCAGAGGUGAUGGUGGGCGAGACACCUCCUGAAGAGGGUGCAGAGCUAAUUCCCAAGACAGCCAGUAGGAGGCACCACAGUGGUGCCUCAGAGGAAGACUAGUGAAACCAGAACAUUAGCAGCAAACCAUCCAUGGCACUGCAGGAGUUUUGCUUUGUUCUGCUGUGAUUACUUCACCUACAGGUAUGGGAUGACGAGCAGUGGCUGCAGAACUUUUGAAUGUGGAAGGUUACUUUCCAGGAACUUUGCGCAGAGCUUUCCCCAGGCCUGAGGUGCAGCAACACUAAAAUGAGACCUGCUCUGACAGUGGAGAAGAGUGGGGGAAGGCAGCAGUCAUUCCCUGAGAAGAAUGAGGAGGAUUCUUGGAGCUGGUACAGCCAGAGAGAGACGGGGAACCAGGAAGUAGUCAGGGGAAGGAACAGUGAGGGCAGAGAGAGGAAGCCCAGAACUGUUGAGCUGAGGGUCCCUGGACUGUAACCUGGAGUAGAAGGUUGCCCCAGGUUCCCCUUGCAGCUACCGAGGGAAUGGCAUCAGGGCAGUGAAUAGAAGACUUUCUGGGACUGUUGAUGGACUGAACCCUUGAAUGGGGAACACUGAGUGACCUAGCUGGAGGGCUAAGUCACGAAGAGGACAUUGCAGGUCUUGGAGCAAAAAGAGCUGCACAUCAGAGUCAGAGUGACUGUGUGCAAACUGCAGAGGGGGGCAUCAGCCUUAAGAGCUACUUUCCAGAAGGAGGAGCUACCGCAGCAUCGAAUGGAGAACCCUGUGAUAGCACUCAUCAGUGCAACACUGUUGUCUUGCUGGACAUGUUUAAAACACAAAACUUGAAACAAUGCUGCUUGCAGCAUUAAACUUUAUAAUUCCAUUCCCUAGUAGGAAGUUUUAAUACUACAUCUA